UUUAUUUAUUUAUAAAACCAGUAUUUCACACGUCAGGACAAGAAAACAAUGAAAUAUGCAUCACUAUAGCUUAUUGUAAAAUCACACGAAAUAAGAAUAAUCAGCAAGACCAAAAUCAGAGGCCAUAAGAACUUCUCACAUGGCCUCGUGUGCCCAUAAAAGUUUGCAAUAUAAAACUGUUUUCUACAGAUUCGUGCAACAUAAUGACUAUAACUAUAUCUCCCAUGCAUUGGUACUAUAUAACUAAAACUGGCACAUGCUGAGUGUCUCCAGAUACUUCGUCUCCAAGUUGCUUACAAACAGCUUCUUCCUUCCUUGAUUAUAGCAGAUUCCCUAUUCGCCAUUUUCCUGAUAAAAUCACAAAACGUGGAUCAAGUGAGAUAAGGUCACCUAAAAAAAUACAUGCGUAUUUGCAUAUGGUGCAACCGAUGAACCAGAAUUGCUCAUCAUGUACAUUCUACCAAAAAAAAUUUCUCCCAUACCUUACAAAAAAAUGCAAGGCAAAUUCAAGCAGUGACUUUCAUAAGGCAAUAACACAAUAGCCCUAAAGUCGAUUCACACUAGGGGAAUUCUGCAAAGAGUAGAAAACAAUAUGUUUCCAUGGAGUUCAUCAUGAUUGAUGACAAUAACUAGAGCUUAGUUAUAUGGUGCGGCUUCACGUGGAUCACUCAACAAUGCUAGUUGGAAACAAAUACCUUCCUUUUGACAUUGGAUAUUUGUUCUUCCAUGAGAAUGACGAAAUGGUAGAAGAACAUGCCAACAAAAAUUAACACCUAGCAUGCACCCAAACUACAAGCUGGAGAAAAAUUGCAAGAACCCAAACUACAAGCUUAAGAAAAUUUGCAAGAGGCUAGAUACCAAGGUCGCAGCUAUGCUUGCGUUGUGGUAGAUGUCGCAGGACGCCUAUGCAAUUUCUGUUGACCAGCUCAAUACCAACAUAGAACUGCUACCUAACUAGAGGUCAACGAGGCAACACAAGACAUGUAAAAUUUAAUAUUGCUAUGCAAUUUUAUUCCACUAGUUCCAAACAAUCGAACACAUUACAAAAUAUGCAACCCAAAAAUCCUGGUUCUGAAAUUGAUAAAUGGGUUCUUCCCCAUUACAGUUUCCAGAAACCAGUGGCUCCAACAUGAUGAUUUUGGCAGAACUUUAGGAAAAACUUACAACAACUACUAUUGUUCUCUAGUGAAAGAUCGCACUAAAAAUACAUGGACACAUCACACAUUGUGCGAAGGUAGAGUAAAGGGUAAUGCCAUCAUCAAGAUCACGUUUUACAAGACAUCUUUUUUGGAUCAAUAAACAUGUACAAAGUUCUAUGAGGUAACUAAAGGCCAUGUAUCGUCAUAUAAUGUGUUGAUUCCAGAAUGAUUAGUUUUGCUAAGCAUACCUAAUGUUGCCAUUAGAGUGUCCAAAACUGAAAUGAAUAGUGCUAAUGGAAAUAGUACAGUACAUGUUGAACUCAAACUCAGAAGAGAAUGAGUGCGUUUCCUUGAGAGGAAAAACCUAGACAUGCCCAUGCAAAUGUGAUUGUGUCGGGCUAUUUUUCUUUAAAACAAACAUCAAUUGGUGAGAUUUGUCAUGUUCCUUCAAUGGAUCUUCCAAGAAUGCAAGUGUAGCAACUUUAUUAUGUUUGUUAUUGAUCCUACUAAUCAGUGGAGUUACUUUUCAGAAAGAAGAUUAAAAAAAUAGGAGCUACAAAUCUGUAACAAAAACACUUAAGUGUCAACUGAACCAAAACUUGCGAAAUCAUCUUGCUAUUCUCGGUUGCUGUGUCCAUGAACAAGGUCAGUCGGAGCUAAAACAAGACGAACCAAAAUAGAAACAGGAUUGGGACCCCUCAACAGUUAAACUAAUACACUGAGAGGUCCUAAUCCUGUUUGUAAGAAUUCUGAGAGACAAAGAUAAGAGAUAUAGGGCAAAAAAUAAAUAAAUAAAUAGGAACAUGUCCAACUAAUACAUUUUCCAAACUUGCAUGCAACAUAGAUUGCAUCGCUUGUUUGCAUCAACGUAAAAUUGGAGCAUGUCUAGUUUAAUUCUUCUGUUCAGUGUGUAUCAACAGAUCAAAACUAGAAAUAAAUAGGUGCUUAACCACUCAUCAUUCGCCUUAAGCACAUUGUAAAAAUGUGAAAAGCAAACCUGAGAAAGGUUAGUGUACUGAAGGCGUAUGCAGUGCUUUCACAGAGGUGACAAAGGUUAGUGUACUGAAGGCGUAUGCAGUGCUAGUUGCUACUGUGUCUCACUAGUCUUCAGGUCUGCAACUACAUAAAGUUCUGAAGCGUCACUAAUGUUCAGUUCUGAAGCAGAUUCAGAAUGAUGGGAUGCCAUCCUAAAUACAGUAGCAGCAUCCCUACUCCAUUCCAAGUGAAAAUGGCUGGAACUGGUUCUUUUUUUUGUAGCAGUGGAGCUCUAAAGAAGACAUAAGGAAUAAUAGUUCAUCUAAAACAGAGAAGAUAGACAAGAAACAGGGCUAUCACAUUUGGCUGGACCUAAGAAGAUACUCUGGUGUUGUUCCUCCUCCGCAGCUUCUCCUCUUGCAUGAUCCCCACCUCCUUGAUUUGAUCCCACAUACGAGCUAAGGUUUUCUCCAUCACCCCCUUCAAUAUGCAAGCUCAUCUCCUUUCUUGGUCUUUUUACUCUUUCUUUACCCUGUUCCUCAAAAAUCUAGAACCCUGACCCUAAAAAUUAAGAAAUUCAUGGAGAAGAGGGAAUGGAAGAGGAAGGUAUUACCAACGAGAAGACCGCUGACGAUGGAGAGGGACGCCAGAAAAGGUCGUUGCCGCCGCCGAGCUCGCACCAGAUUGAUGCACUGCCCAGUUCGCCUCCUGGUCGCUACCGCAUGAAGAGGGAAAGGGGGAGUAAUCCACGCAGGAGAGAGAGGGGUAGCCCUUGCUUCAAUAUUGUCCCUCCGGCGUCAUGGACAUGGUUGCCUCCGCCUCCGCAAACCGCAAUCGCCAGCCAGGAGGGGCUGAGGAGAUAGGAACGUCCUCGAAAGUGAACCGCUCGCACCUGAUUAGAAAAGACACGGGUAGGGGUGGAGACAU
This 3041-nucleotide long non-coding RNA is filed under the name Triticum aestivum (bread wheat). RNAcentral's name for it is "long non-coding RNA (TAES_LNC026266)". Lineage: Eukaryota; Viridiplantae; Streptophyta; Magnoliopsida; Poales; Poaceae. The record is from RNAcentral.